AUUGAACGCUGGCGGCAGGCCUAACACAUGCAAGUCGAGCGGAUUUCUGGAGCUUGCUCCUUGAUUCAGCGGCGGACGGGUGAGUAAUGCCUAGGAAUCUGCCUGGUAGUGGGGGACAACGUUUCGAAAGGAACGCUAAUACCGCAUACGUCCUACGGGAGAAAGCAGGGGACCUUCGGGCCUUGCGCUAUCAGAUGAGCCUAGGUCGGAUUAGCUAGUAGGUGAGGUAAUGGCUCACCUAGGCGACGAUCCGUAACUGGUAUGAGAGGAUGAUCAGUCACACUGGAACUGAGACACGGUCCAGACUCCUACGGGAGGCAGCAGUGGGGAAUAUUGGACAAUGGGCGAAAGCCUGAUCCAGACAUGCCGCGUGUGUGAAGAAGGUCUUCGGAUUGUAAAGCACUUUAAGUUGGGAGGAAGGGCAGUAAGUUAAUACCUUGCUGUUUUGACGUUACUGACAGAAUAAGCACCGGCUAACUCUGUGCCAGCCGCCGCGGUAA
RNAcentral lists this ribosomal RNA (500 nucleotides) under uncultured bacterium. Its description in RNAcentral is "partial 16S ribosomal RNA". It matches the Rfam family "Bacterial small subunit ribosomal RNA", at positions 30 to 523 of the family's 1533-position model. The record is from RNAcentral.